UCCCUCUCAAUCCUUGGCAAGAUAAAAGAAACAACACAAAAAGGUCAUGUUCAUUAGUUAGCAAAAAAGUAUCACUUUUAAAAUAUAUAUGGCACCUACUAGUGAUAACAAUAGGUCAAAGUAAAGGUCCAUGAUGCACUCGUAAGAAUGCAAAAUAACACCAUAUUAUCUAUUGAUAAAACAAGGAUUAUAUAUUCUAAUUCGUUCAAAAUAAAGUCACAGAAUAAAGUGAAAAAUAUGCUGUUCUGCUUCCUUUUUCAUUCUAUCAAGGAAACUUAAGAUAUAUAAUAAAAUAAAACCAUCCCAGCUGCUCCCUCUCAAUCCUUGCCAUUUGGCAAGAUAAAAGUUGAAAAGAAGAAACAACACAAAGAGGACAUGUUCAUUAGUUAGCAAAAAAGCAUCACUUUUAAGAUAGAUAUGGCACCUACUAGUGACAACGAUAGGUCAAAGUAAGGGUCCAUGAUGCACUCGUAAGAAUACAAAAUAAGACCAGAUUAUCUAUUGAUAAAGCUAGGAUUAUAUAUUCUAAUUCGUUCAAAAUAAAGUGACAGAAUAAAGUGAAAGAUCUGCUGUUCUGCUGCCUUGUUCCUUCUGUCAAGGAAACUCCUUGCAAACCAACUUGUCUCAAUUUGAUCCAUGCUGGUUCUCCCAAUCAAACUUAAUCUGAACCUUUGUCUUGAAUGGAGAAUAAACCAACUAGUUGAGUCCCAUAAAAUUUGGAUUUAUGCCAGUUUCAGAAAUUAAAAGGGUGUGAUUGGUAUAAGGUUGCAACCUUAAACAAUCAAAUUAAGGCGCACCUUCAAAUUGUCAUAAAUAUAAUUUUGGUGUCAAAAAUUCUUAGGAUGGUUUGAGAAUUUAUUUUCAUCUCUAAUAAUAAAAUCUUAAACUCCAAAAAUGAUUCAAAUCAAGUAGAUCUAUAAACACUUAAAACUCUUGAAAAUGGAUGGUCUAGAUAAUGUGUUGCAAGAUACACUAUUUUUAGGACUCAAAAAUCUUUUUUUUCUUUUCGUAUUCAUACAUCUGGAUGUCGAGAUGAUCAAUUAGAGGGUUUAUCAACAUCAGAACAACCUUUUAUGAUGGAUUUUUGAGGUGCACCCUAAUUUCAGAUUUUAAGGUUGCAACCUUAUAUAAACUCUUUCCAUUAAGGAAUGGCCACAGUUAUGGUCAAAGUAGGACACCUAUUAAACGACAAGGAGAAGAAUCAACCACAAUGCACUAAUGCAUAAAUUAAAAAUGAACUGAAAAAGAAGACCAACCUAGUCCACAACCAAACCAUCUUCUCUAUUCCAACAUAGAACGAUGAUCUCCUCUAACCUACACAACAAAUGACUAAAUUUCACAAACUCAACAGUCCUUAGAACCCCUAUAACGUGAGGAUACUAUACUACCCUAACUACCAUCCACAUGAAAUGAUUCACGACCAUAGAAUUAAGCCCAGAUGCCAAUCCCAUUAGACGAGAAAAAAGUUCUGAGUGACUCCUUACGACCCGACUUGCCUCAAUGCAAAACCUUACGUUACAAUGCGUCCCAAUCGUCAACCUAAUUCCAUUAAUUGAUCUCUAGAUCAUCAUCAUCAUCAUCAUAGCCUUUCCCCACUUAAUUGGGGUUGGCUACUUUCAUGAUAAGUUUUAGCAAGAUUUUAUUUUGGCUGCCUACCUAACACAACCACGCCUUUACCGGAGCAUGGG
Molecule: long non-coding RNA, 1688 nt
Filed under: Amborella trichopoda
Lineage: Eukaryota; Viridiplantae; Streptophyta; Magnoliopsida; Amborellales; Amborellaceae
Description: long non-coding RNA (ATRI_LNC005415)
Source: RNAcentral